Molecule: ribosomal RNA, 253 nt
Filed under: uncultured bacterium
Lineage: Bacteria
Description: partial 16S ribosomal RNA
Rfam family: Bacterial small subunit ribosomal RNA
Source: RNAcentral
UACAGAGGUCUCAACCGUUGUUCGGAUUCAUUGGGCGUAAAGGGUGCGUAGGCGGUCGCGUAAGUCGGAUGUGAAAUCUCAGGGCUCAACCCUGAAACUGCAUUCGAUACUGCGUGGCUAGGGUACUGGAGAGGAGACUGGAAUUUACGGUGUAGCAGUGAAAUGCGUAGAUAUCGUAAGGAAGACCAGUGGCGAAGGCGAGUCUCUGGACAGGUCCUGACGCUGAGGCACGAAAGCUAGGGGAGCAAACAGG